Molecule: long non-coding RNA, 269 nt
Filed under: Mytilus galloprovincialis (Mediterranean mussel)
Lineage: Eukaryota; Metazoa; Mollusca; Bivalvia; Mytilida; Mytilidae
Source: RNAcentral
UGCCUUCACCCUGUCCACAUUUGGACAAGUCUAUUUCUAUGAGAUGAUGCAUCUUACGGACUGAUGACAAAUAAGGUAAACGAACUUAUUGUGUAAUUGGUUUUAAACACAAGUUUCGUUCCGCAAAAUUAUUUGCGCAAACGACAUUUCAAGGUCAGUUAUAAUUGAUUUGUCUAUAUUUAGAAACGUAAACUGGAAGGGUUUUUUUUCACAACAGAAAGUGUUGUCAAUUUUGUUAGUGAUUAAUGCAUUUCAUUUCAGGAAAAAAA